This 1346-nucleotide ribosomal RNA is filed under the name uncultured bacterium. RNAcentral describes it as "bacterial SSU rRNA". It matches the Rfam family "Bacterial small subunit ribosomal RNA", at positions 28 to 1381 of the family's 1533-position model. The record is from RNAcentral.
GACGAACGCUGGCGGCGUGCUUAACACAUGCAAGUCGAACGGAAAGGCCCUGCUUUUGUGGGGUGCUCGAGUGGCGAACGGGUGAGUAACACGUGAGUAACCUGCCCUUGACUUUGGGAUAACUUCAGGAAACUGGGGCUAAUACCGGAUAGGAGCUCCUGCUGCAUGGUGGGGGUUGGAAAGUUUCGGCGGUUGGGGAUGGACUCGCGGCUUAUCAGCUUGUUGGUGGGGUAGUGGCUUACCAAGGCUUUGACGGGUAGCCGGCCUGAGAGGGUGACCGGCCACAUUGGGACUGAGAUACGGCCCAGACUCCUACGGGAGGCAGCAGUGGGGAAUAUUGCACAAUGGGCGGAAGCCUGAUGCAGCAACGCCGCGUGCGGGAUGACGGCCUUCGGGUUGUAAACCGCUUUCGCCUGUGACGAAGCGUGAGUGACGGUAAUGGGUAAAGAAGCACCGGCUAACUACGUGCCAGCAGCCGCGGUGAUACGUAGGGUGCGAGCGUUGUCCGGAUUUAUUGGGCGUAAAGGGCUCGUAGGUGGUUGAUCGCGUCGGAAGUGUAAUCUUGGGGCUUAACCCUGAGCGUGCUUUCGAUACGGGUUGACUUGAGGAAGGUAGGGGAGAAUGGAAUUCCUGGUGGAGCGGUGGAAUGCGCAGAUAUCAGGAGGAACACCAGUGGCGAAGGCGGUUCUCUGGGCCUUUCCUGACGCUGAGGAGCGAAAGCGUGGGGAGCGAACAGGCUUAGAUACUCUGGUAGUCCACGCUGUAAACGGUGGGUACUAGGUGUGGGGUCCAUUCCACGGGUUCCGUGCCGUAGCUAACGCUUUAAGUACCCCGCCUGGGGAGUACGGCCGCAAGGCUAAAACUCAAAGGAAUUGACGGGGCCCCGCACAAGCGGCGGAGCAUGCGGAUUAAUUCGAUGCAACGCGUAGAACCUUACCUGGGUUUGACAUGGAUCGGGAGCGCUCAGAGAUGGGUGUGCCUCUUUUGGGGUCGGUUCACAGGUGGUGCAUGGCUGUCGUCAGCUCGUGUCGUGAGAUGUUGGGUUAAGUCCCGCAACGAGCGCAACCCUUGUUCACUGUUGCCAGCACGUUAUGGUGGGGACUCAGUGGAGACCGCCGGGGUCAACUCGGAGGAAGGUGGGGAUGACGUCAAGUCAUCAUGCCCCUUAUGCCCAGGGCUUCACGCAUGCUACAAUGGCUGGUACAGAGAGUGGCGAGCCUGUGAGGGUGAGCGAAUCUCGGAAAGCCGGUCUCAGUUCGGAUUGGGGUCUGCAACUCGACCUCAUGAAGUCGGAGUCGCUAGUAAUCGCAGAUCAGCAACGCUGCGGGGAAUACGUUCCCGGGGCU